GGGGCAUUAGCUCAGCUGGUUAGAGCGCCUGCUUUGCAAGCAGGAGGUCAUCGGUUCGACUCCGAUAUGCUCCACCA
Molecule: transfer RNA, 77 nt
Filed under: Candidatus Saccharimonadota bacterium
Lineage: Bacteria; Candidatus Saccharimonadota
Description: tRNA-Ala
Rfam family: tRNA
About the family: Transfer RNA (tRNA) molecules are approximately 80 nucleotides in length.
Source: RNAcentral